RNAcentral lists this ribosomal RNA (121 nucleotides) under Vibrio lentus. RNAcentral describes it as "partial 16S ribosomal RNA". It matches the Rfam family "Bacterial small subunit ribosomal RNA", at positions 1426 to 1533 of the family's 1533-position model. Lineage: Bacteria; Pseudomonadati; Pseudomonadota; Gammaproteobacteria; Vibrionales; Vibrionaceae. RNAcentral also lists the same sequence under 1 other name. The record is from RNAcentral.
GUGGGUAGUUUAACCUUUCGGGGAGGACGCUCACCACUUUGUGGUUCAUGACUGGGGUGAAGUCGUAACAAGGUAGCCCUAGGGGAACCUGGGGCUGGAUCACCUCCUUAUACGAAGAUAC